RNAcentral lists this ribosomal RNA (250 nucleotides) under uncultured bacterium. RNAcentral describes it as "partial 16S ribosomal RNA". It matches the Rfam family "Bacterial small subunit ribosomal RNA", at positions 524 to 773 of the family's 1533-position model. The record is from RNAcentral.
UACGAAGGGGGCUAGCGUUGUUCGGAUUUACUGGGCGUAAAGGGCGCGUAGGCGGCAUGUUAAGUCAGCUGUGAAAUCUCCGAGCUUAACUCGGAACGGUCAGCUGAUACUGAUGUGCUGGAGUACAGAAGGGGCAAUCGGAAUUCUUGGUGUAGCGGUGAAAUGCGUAGAUAUCAAGAGGAACACCUGAGGCGAAGGCGGCUUCCUGGACUCUAACUGACGCUCAUGUGCGAAAGCGUGGGGAGCAAAC